UACGUAGGGACCGAGCGUUGUCCGGAUUCAUUGGGCGUAAAGAGCUCGUAGGCGGCCACUCAAGUCGAAUGUGAAACCUCGAGGCUCAACCUCGAGCCUGCAUUCGAUACUGGGCGGCUAGAGUCUGGUAGGGGGAUCUGGAAUUCCUGGUGUAGCGGUGGAAUGCGCAGAUAUCAGGAGGAACACCGGUGGCGAAGGCAGCACUCUGGGCCGGUACUGACGCUGAGGAGCGAAAGCUAGGGGAGCGAACAGG
RNAcentral lists this ribosomal RNA (253 nucleotides) under uncultured bacterium. Its description in RNAcentral is "partial 16S ribosomal RNA". It matches the Rfam family "Bacterial small subunit ribosomal RNA", at positions 524 to 776 of the family's 1533-position model. The record is from RNAcentral.